This 273-nucleotide small RNA is filed under the name Saimiri boliviensis boliviensis (Bolivian squirrel monkey). RNAcentral's name for it is "Metazoan signal recognition particle RNA (ENSSBOG00000003677.1)". Lineage: Eukaryota; Metazoa; Chordata; Mammalia; Primates; Cebidae. The record is from RNAcentral.
GCCGGGCAUGGUGGUGCAUGCCUGUAAUCCCAGCUACUCGGGAGGCUGAGGCAGGAGAAUUGCUUGAAUCUGGGAGGCUGAGGUUGCAGUGAGCUGAGAUCGAGCCAUUGCUCUCCAGCCUAGGCAACAAGAGUGAAACUCUUGUCUCAGAAAAACCAGUCCAGGUGUGGUGGUCAUGCCUGUAAUCCCAGCACUUUGGGAGGCCAAGGAGGGUGAUCACUUGAGCCAAGGAGUUCAAGACCAGCCUGCGUAACAUAGCGAGACCUUGUCUCU